Molecule: ribosomal RNA, 648 nt
Filed under: Triticum aestivum (bread wheat)
Lineage: Eukaryota; Viridiplantae; Streptophyta; Magnoliopsida; Poales; Poaceae
Description: partial small subunit ribosomal RNA
Source: RNAcentral
UGGGACAAGCUCAAUGAAAUCGCCUUAGGCAUUGCCAGGGGGAUCAACUACCUGCAUCAAGGAUGUGACAUGCAGAUUCUGCACUUUGACAUCAAGCUGCACAACAUCCUUCUUGACAUCGAUUUCAUCCCAAAGGUUGCCGACUUCGGCCUUGCCAAGCUAUACCCAAGGGACAACAACUUUGUGCCGUUGAGCGCCCUGCGGGGAACCAUCGGGUACAUAGCUCCUGAGAUGAUAUCCCGCAGCUUCGGCGUCAUAUCGAACAAGUCUGACGUUUACAGCUUCGGGAUGCUGAUGCUGGAGAUGGCAGGAGGGCGGAGGAACGCUGACCCGGACGCAGCAGCGAACUCAAGCCGGGCAUUCUACCCAUCCUGGGUGUAUGAACGGCUUAGCAAACAGGAUCUGGGCGAGAUAUCUGUUGAGAUGCACGAGUUGGAGAGGAAACUGUGCCUUGUUGGGCUAUGUUGCAUCCAGGUUCAGUGUCACGAUCGGCCAGCGAUGAGCGAAGUCAUAGAGAUGCUCGAAGGCAGCGUGGAUGGCCUGCAGUUGCCCUCAAGGCCUUUCUUCUGUGACGAUGGGCACACCCCUGUAGUGGGGUCCUACCAUUUCUGCUCUGAGCUGAAUGGCGUUUCAGAAGAGGAUGACUGA